GACGAACGCUGGCGGCGUGCUUAACACAUGCAAGUCGAACGGACAGGCCCUGCUUUUGUUGGUUGCUCGAUUGGCGAACGGGGGAGUAACACGUGAGUAAACUGCCCUUGACUGUGGGGUAACUUCACGAAACUGGGGCGAAUACCGGAUAGGAGCUCCUGCUGCAUGUUGGGGGAUGGAAAGUUUCGGCGGUUGGGGAUGGACUCGCGGCUUAUCAGCUUGUUUGGGGGGUAGUGGAUUACCAAGGCUUUGACGGGUAGCCGGCCUGGGAGGGUGACCGGCCACAUUGGGACUGAGGUACGGCCCAGACUCCUACGUGAGGCAGCAGUGGGGAAUAUUGCACAAUGGGCGGAAGCCUGAUGCAGCAACGCCGCGUGCGGGAUGACGGCUUUCGGGUUGUAAACCGCUUUCGCCUGUGCCGAAGCGUUAGUGACGGUAAUGGGUAAAGAAGCACCGGCUAACUACGUG
Molecule: ribosomal RNA, 468 nt
Filed under: uncultured bacterium
Lineage: Bacteria
Description: partial 16S ribosomal RNA
Rfam family: Bacterial small subunit ribosomal RNA
Source: RNAcentral